GACGAACGCUGGCGGCGUGCCUAAUACAUGCAAGUUGAGCGAUGAAGAUUGGUGCUUGCACCAAUUUGAAGAGCAGCGAACGGGUGAGUAACGCGUGGGGAAUCUGCCUUUGAGCGGGGGACAACAUUUGGAAACGAAUGCUAAUACCGCAUAAUAACUUUAAACAUAAGUUUUAAGUUUGAAAGAUGCAAUUGCAUCACUCAAAGAUGAUCCCGCGUUGUAUUAGCUAGUUGGUGAGGUAAAGGCUCACCAAGGCGAUGAUACAUAGCCGACCUGAGAGGGUGAUCGGCCACAUUGGGACUGAGACACGGCCCAAACUCCUACGGGAGGCAGCAGUAGGGAAUCUUCGGCAAUGGACGAAAGUCUGACCGAGCGACGCCGCGUGAGUGAAGAAGGUUUUCGGAUCGUAAAACUCUGUUGGUAGAGAAGAACGUUGGUGAGAGUGGAAAGCUCAUCAAGUGACGAUAACUACCCAGAAAGGGACGGCUAACUACGUG
RNAcentral lists this ribosomal RNA (497 nucleotides) under uncultured bacterium. RNAcentral describes it as "partial 16S ribosomal RNA". It matches the Rfam family "Bacterial small subunit ribosomal RNA", at positions 28 to 507 of the family's 1533-position model. The record is from RNAcentral.